RNAcentral lists this ribosomal RNA (393 nucleotides) under uncultured bacterium. RNAcentral describes it as "partial 16S ribosomal RNA". It matches the Rfam family "Bacterial small subunit ribosomal RNA", at positions 523 to 918 of the family's 1533-position model. The record is from RNAcentral.
AUACGGAAGGUCCGGGCGUUAUCCGGAUUUAUUGGGUUUAAAGGGAGCGCAGGCGGAGAUGCAAGCGUGACGUCAAAUUUCGGGGCUCAACCCCGUCUCGCGUCGCGAACUGCGUCCCUUGGUUGCGGGAAGGGGAGGCGGAACUCGUGGUGUAGCGGUGAAAUGCAGAGACAUCACGAAGAACUCCGCUCGCGAAGGCAGCCUUCCGGCCCGUCAACGACGCUCAUGCCCGAAGGUGCGGGUAUCAAACAGGAUUAGAUGCCCUGGUAGUCCGCACAGUAAACGAUGGACACCCGCGGUUUGGCCUCUAUGGCGGAGCCGUCAAGCGAAAGCGUUAAGUGUCCCACCUGGGGAGUACGCCGGCAACGGUGAAACUCAAAUGAAUUGACGGGG